GAAAAAUUAGUUAAAUUAUAACAUUAAUAUGUCAAAUUAAAGUAAUCAUAUAAAAUGAUAUUUUUCU
This 67-nucleotide transfer RNA is filed under the name Sclerophasma paresisense. Its description in RNAcentral is "tRNA-Asp". Lineage: Eukaryota; Metazoa; Arthropoda; Insecta; Mantophasmatodea; Mantophasmatidae. The record is from RNAcentral.